AACACAUUGUUAAAGAAGAAGAAGAAGAAGGAAGGAAGGAGGGAAGGGAGGGAGGAAGGAAUAUUGGGUUGCUAGGCAACUAAAGACAAGCCUCCUUGUCAUCUCUUGGAUCUGUGAGUUUUGCCCCGUUCAGCUGUCGCCUGUGGACAUCCUCUAUGCAGCAUAAUGUCUUGUGCAGCCUACUUAGAUGGCAACGCAACGCCAAAGUCCAUGAGCAGAGCCAAACAAUGGACUGACGAGGUGGAGAACUUAUACAGAUUCCAACAGGCAGGCUACAGAGAUGAACUGGAAUACAAACAAGUAAAGCAAGUUGACUUGAUCGACAGGUGGCCUGAGACUGGGUUUGUGAAGAAGCUUCAGCGUCGAGACAACACAUUCUAUUACUACAACAGAAAAAGAGAAUGUGAAGACCGGGAAGUCCAUAAAGUGAAAGUCUAUGCAUAUUAAGUCAGGAGUGUCCAGCAAUCUCUUUUCCAUUUCCAAUAUCUUUUGACAUGUUUUUGAAGAAGACGUCUGUAGGAAGGAAGGCAGCACCAUCCCAGCUGUGGAAUGUAGACCAGUUCACUGAAUAAAGGGUGUGAGGCUGAA
Molecule: non-coding RNA, 588 nt
Organism: Oncorhynchus mykiss (rainbow trout)
Lineage: Eukaryota; Metazoa; Chordata; Actinopteri; Salmoniformes; Salmonidae
Source: RefSeq, a predicted model, not a curated record